Molecule: ribosomal RNA, 253 nt
Filed under: uncultured bacterium
Lineage: Bacteria
Description: partial 16S ribosomal RNA
Rfam family: Bacterial small subunit ribosomal RNA
Source: RNAcentral
UACGGAGGGUGCAAGCAUUAAUCGGAUUUAUUGGGCGUAAAGGGGGCGUAGGCUGGAUUGUAAGUCAGACGUGAAAUCCCGGGGCUUAACCCCGGAACAGCGUUUGAAACUACUUUUCUUGAGGAUAGACGGAGAAAACGGAAUUCCACAUGUAGCGGUGAAAUGCGUAGAUAUGUGGAAGAACACCCGUGGCGAAAGCGGUUUUCUAGUUUAUUCCUGACGCUAAGGCCCGAAAGCUAGGGGAGCAAACAGG